This 253-nucleotide ribosomal RNA is filed under the name uncultured bacterium. RNAcentral's name for it is "partial 16S ribosomal RNA". It matches the Rfam family "Bacterial small subunit ribosomal RNA", at positions 524 to 776 of the family's 1533-position model. The record is from RNAcentral.
UACAGAGGUCCCGAGCGUUGUUCGGAUUCACUGGGCGUAAAGGGUGCGUAGGCGGUCGGGUAAGUCUGAUGUGAAAGCUCUGGGCUUAACCCAGAAAUGGCAUUGGAUACUAUUCGGCUCGAGGUCUGGAGGGGGGACUGGAAUACUUGGUGUAGCAGUGAAAUGCGUAGAUAUCAAGUGGAACACCAGUGGCGAAGGCGAGUCCCUGGACAGAUCCUGACGCUGAGGCACGAAAGCUAGGGGAGCAAACAGG